GCACCGCGCAUGAGGUGGGGGUGGGUCGCUGCUCAGGAAGUUACCUCAGAGUGCUCUGCAGUUUCCGGACAGACGAAGCCCGCCCAGAGUGAGGUAAGAAAGGGGGUCUAGGAAUACCGUGGAGUCCAGUCCACCCACAUCACAGGAGAUGAAGUUAGGGCCGUCCUGUCUCCAGUCCCUGCUCCCCUGGCCCGACAGAGGGAUGGUGGAGGAGACCGGUGGGCAGGACAGCGAGGGCUGAGCCCUGUGGACAGCGGAGUGCGCAGAGGAGAGAACUCAGCAGAGCAGUGGCGGGCGAGGGGCUGGCAGGGAGCGAGGCGGGGCUGGUGGAGCCAACUGCGCUGGACACUUCGGUACAUGUGGAAUUGGGCGAGGCUCAGCCAGGAGCCCGGGCCAGAAAGGCAGUGAAAGAACAUAAAUGGGAGGAAGACUUGGUCAUUUCCAGGACUAUGUCGGCCACCUCACUGUUGGCAUCUGGACCUGAGGAAAAUAGCUUAUGUUAUGCCUGCUGGUGGGAAGCCACCCCGACUUCAUCAUUCAUUGAAGGAAGGCUUCUUGAUGGAUGGGGCACAGGAUCUGUAUUUUGACAGCAGGUUCAUUUAUUCUUUCAUGGAAAAAUACUGCAUCUACUCUUAUGUAAAACCCUUAUAUAUCAGGCACUGUUCUAAGCAGAGCAAAUCAGCCAGGAAUCCCUGAUUCUGUUCCACUAGAAGGUUGCUUCUCCAGUGGUCUGACUGAAGAAAGCAGGCAGUAGGCAGGCCUGGGGGACUGACUCCUGAGGCACCUGAUCUGUUGUCACC
Molecule: long non-coding RNA, 800 nt
Filed under: Chinchilla lanigera (long-tailed chinchilla)
Lineage: Eukaryota; Metazoa; Chordata; Mammalia; Rodentia; Chinchillidae
Description: lncRNA (ENSCLAG00000026560.1)
Source: RNAcentral